This 60-nucleotide non-coding RNA is filed under the name Lacticaseibacillus camelliae. RNAcentral's name for it is "Lactobacillus camelliae Fluoride sequence". It matches the Rfam family "Fluoride riboswitch aptamer (crcB RNA motif)". RNAcentral also lists the same sequence under 1 other name. The record is from RNAcentral. Lineage: Bacteria; Bacillati; Bacillota; Bacilli; Lactobacillales; Lactobacillaceae.
AACAUGAUAGGCGAAGGUGUUCGCCAUAACCGUUAUUCAACUAAUGACACCUAGUUUCGG